AUGCACAAAAGCCCUGCAUAAUGGAUUUUAACCAGAGCCAUGAUGUUAGUUUGAUCAUAUCCACAACCUUCUCCAAGCGUACUUGUUCUCCACUAAAAACAACAGCAUUUCGCUGAUCCUAAAUGCACCAAAGAACGGCCAGCCAAAUGCUUCUCCAAGCUAGUCUUUGUUUUUUAUUUUUGCCCCAAUGCUCAUGAUGGAAAAAAUUAGUGUCAUAAGCUUUAUGCAGUACAGUCUCCACACUCAACCACUCAUAACACCCCAUCCAAACCUUAUAUGUGAAGCCACAGCUAAAAAACAGAUGGGCUACCUCUUAUAUAUGCUGAGAACAGAAGAAACACUGGCCGUCAUUGUUGUCGCCAAGAUCCACUCCCCUCUUCAAGAGAUUAUCAAGUGUCGGCAGCCUCCCGUGGGCAAUUUUCCACGCCAGUCCUAUCACUUUAGAUGGAACCAUGCUUCUCCAAAUGGUCUUGAAAAAAGCAGAAUCAUUCGAUGUCGGAAGCUGGGCCAGAUAUGCUGAUUUAACAGUAUAACCAGUCGCUAGAUCACCAGCCCAGCUCCAACCAUCUUGCUUAUCCUUCAAGAUUUGAACCGCUGAGAUUUCCUGCAUAAAAACCUCCAACAAUUGUUUCUCUCUUUCAAACAAAUCCCUUCUCCACCUAAACUUCCAAUUCCACCUCUCACCCUCCCACUCCCCCACACCCCCACCACCGAAUCCCUCUGUUCAGACAGUUCAAAUAGUCUUUUAAAUUUCCGUUUUAACUUCACAUCUCCUACCCAACACUCAUCCCAAAAGCUCACCAAUUUCCCAUCUCCAACCACUCUCUGCACAUUCCCACUGAACCACUCUCCUUUAUCCUGACACACCCCAACUUUCCCUAAGUCCUUCCACCACCUAGACCCUUUCCUCCAACUAUUCCCCUCACUCACCCGAACUCCUUCCCCAUACUUAGACCGCAAGACCCGCCCCCAUAAACUGUCCCCAUCAUUUAUCACACGCCACCUCCAUUUACAUAGCAAGGCCCUAUUAAAAACUACUAUAUCUUUCACCCCCAGCCCACCUUGCUCCUUAGGUUUGCAAACCGUAUCCCAAUUAACCCAAGCUAUUCUCCUCUCCUCCCCAUCCCCUCCCCAAAGAAAAUAGCGCGAGUUUAAGAGACAGAGACGGCCACCAAAGGAGAGAUGCUUCAUCUUCCAAGGGGUCAAACGCUUCUGCAACCUCUGCAACACCGGUUCCCAUGUACACGCCCUCCUAGGAUUCGCUCCCACCUCAAUUCCCAAAUAUACAAAAGGGACAGUCAUAACUUUACAAUUUAACAGAGCAGCAAACUGGUUUGUCAUCUCUUCAUUCACUGCGAUGCCUGCUAACUUACUCUUGAAGAAAUUAACUUUCAACCCGGAUAUCAACUCAAACCACCUCAAAAUGCCUUUGAUUGUGUACACAUUUUCCACCACCAUCUCCCCGAUUAAUAAAGUACCGUCUGCAAACUGAAUGUGUGAUAUCUCCAAGUUAUUUUUACCCACCUUGAACCCAGAAAAAAGAUUUUUACUCACAGCCUCUCUCAUCAAUCCCCUCAGCCCCUCAGCCACCCCACCCACUAACUCCUCCCUCAUUCCACUUUUCCCCCACCAUCUUGACAAACCGUGGAUCCCUAGACCAGCAAUCCAAGAUCCUGAAUGGUUUCGGGCCCCAAUCCACCUCCGAAUGCUUAAGAACAUGUGCACAAUUUGGCCACUUAUCCUGCCAUUCUACAGAGACUAAUGCCUUAUCUAUCCUACUCCUUGCACUACUCCCACUCCUAUACCAAGUGAACUUUCUAUUUACCAUUGGAAUAUUAAUCAAUUCCAUAGCCUCAAUAAAAUCAUUAAACUCCCUAAUCUUUGUUCCCCUCUGAGCCCCCCAACAUUCUGUCCUACUCUUUCGUCGCUUCUCCUAACAGCAUUAAAGUCGCCCACAACACACCACAAUCCAUCCCCCUCCGUCCUCCUAACCUCUACCAAAUCUUCCCACAGUUAGAUGCAUAAAUCUAGUGCAGUUUGGGAAGGGCAAUUGUAGUAUGCUACAAGCGUUGAAGGACUGAGAUAGUGAAGACUUGAAACUAUUUUUGGCAACAGAUUUGAUGAAUUGUUGUAUUGUUGAGUAUGGGAAGGGCAAUUGCAUUAUGCUACAGCCUACAGGUGUUGAAGGAUGGAGAUAGGGAAGACUUGGAUCUAUUUUUUGCAACAGAUUUGAUAAACUGUUGUAUUGUUGAGCAUGAGUUUGUUUAAUUGUAUCAUUAUACUGUUGGUGUGAGUCCGAAUUAUAUUGUUGGUGUCAAUUCAAUUGUAUGUCUGAAAAAAAAUGUAUGUACAUGGAACCUUUUUCUUUUAAGUUAUAAAUAUACAAGUCUCGUCAAAAGCAA
This is a long non-coding RNA of Lotus japonicus, 2402 nucleotides long. RefSeq lists it as uncharacterized. The record is from RefSeq and is a predicted model, not a curated record. The transcript is spliced from 2 exons. NCBI's taxonomy places the organism in Eukaryota, Viridiplantae, Streptophyta, Magnoliopsida, Fabales, Fabaceae.